UAGAACCGGCUCUCCAGUAGGAGACGGGGCUGGGGUGGCUACACAGAGAGGCACCCAACAAUAUUAGUGAGGGUUGAAUAGUUGAGCUGAUUAGUUGGAACUAAGCUUUAGUACCCAUUGACAUGUAUGAGAGC
Ochotona curzoniae (black-lipped pika) is the source of this 134-nucleotide long non-coding RNA. RefSeq lists it as uncharacterized. The record is from RefSeq and is a predicted model, not a curated record. The transcript has 4 exons. NCBI's taxonomy places the organism in Eukaryota, Metazoa, Chordata, Mammalia, Lagomorpha, Ochotonidae.